AAACAUCGCCUCCUGCAACGCACCACAUAUAGGAGGUCCAGCCUGCCCAGUGACUAUAGUUCAACGGCCGCGGUAUUUUGACCGUGCAAAGGUAGCGCAAUCACUUGUCUUUUAAAUAGAGACCUGUAUGAAUGGCCAAACGAAGGCUUAACUGUCUCCCCUUUCAAGUCAGUGAAAUUGAUCUACCCGUGCAGAAGCGAGUAUAAUUAUACAAGACGAGAAGACCCUUUGGAGCUUAAGGUACAAAAUUCAACCACGUCAAACAACUCAAUAAAAAGCAAGAACUUUGCGGAACAUGAACUUUUACCUUCGGUUGGGGCGACCACGGAGAAAAACAAAACCUCCAAGUGGAUUGGGAUAAUUUUCCUAAAACCAAGAGAGACAUCUCUAAGCCUCAGAAUAUCUGACCAAAAAUGAUCCGGUCACCAAGACCGAUCAACGAACCAAGUUACCCUAGGGAUAACAGCGCAAUCCUCUCCCAGAGUUCGUAUCAACGAGAGGGUUUACGACCUCGAUGUUGGAUCAGGACAUCCUAAUGGUGCAGCCGCUAUUAAGGGUUCGUUUGUUCAACGAUUAAAGUCCUACGUGA
This 589-nucleotide ribosomal RNA is filed under the name Garra mullya. RNAcentral's name for it is "partial 16S ribosomal RNA". It matches the Rfam family "Bacterial large subunit ribosomal RNA", at positions 1811 to 2603 of the family's 2925-position model. Lineage: Eukaryota; Metazoa; Chordata; Actinopteri; Cypriniformes; Cyprinidae. The record is from RNAcentral.